RNAcentral lists this ribosomal RNA (405 nucleotides) under uncultured bacterium. Its description in RNAcentral is "bacterial SSU rRNA". It matches the Rfam family "Bacterial small subunit ribosomal RNA", at positions 354 to 776 of the family's 1533-position model. The record is from RNAcentral.
GUGGGGAAUAUUGCACAAUGGGGGAAACCCUGAUGCAGCGACGCCGCGUGAGCGAAGAAGUAUCUCGGUAUGUAAAGCUCUAUCAGCAGGGAAGAAAAUGACGGUACCUGACUAAGAAGCUCCGGCUAAAUACGUGCCAGCAGCCGCGGUAAUACGUAUGGAGCAAGCGUUAUCCGGAUUUACUGGGUGUAAAGGGAGCGUAGGCGGUAAGGCAAGUCUGAUGUGAAAACCCAGGGCUCAACCCUGGGACUGCAUUGGAAACUGUUUAACUGGAGUGUCGGAGAGGCAAGUGGAAUUCCUAGUGUAGCGGUGAAAUGCGUAGAUAUUAGGAGGAACACCAGUGGCGAAGGCGGCUUGCUGGACGAUGACUGACGCUGAGGCUCGAAAGCGUGGGGAGCAAACAGG